GCGGCGGACGGGUGAGUAACCACGUGGAUAACCUACCUAUAAGACUGGGAUAACUUCGGGAAACCGGAGCUAAUACCGGAUAAUAUUUUGAACCGCAUGGUUCAAAAGUGAAAGACGGUCUUGCUGUCACUUAUAGAUGGAUCCGCGCUGCAUUAGCUAGUUGGUAAGGUAACGGCUUACCAAGGCAACGAUGCAUAGCCGACCUGAGAGGGUGAUCGGCCACACUGGAACUGAGACACGGUCCAGACUCCUACGGGAGGCAGCAGUAGGGAAUCUUCCGCAAUGGGCGAAAGCCUGACGGAGCAACGCCGCGUGAGUGAUGAAGGUCUUCGGAUCGUAAAACUCUGUUAUUAGGGAAGAACAUAUGUGUAAGUAACUGUGCACAUCUUGACGGUACCUAAUCAGAAAGCCACGGCUAACUACGUGCCAGCAGCCGCGGUAAUACGUAGGUGGCAAGCGUUAUCCGGAAUUAUUGGGCGUAAAGCGCGCGUAGGCGGUUUUUUAAGUCUGAUGUGAAAGCCCACGGCUCAACCGUGGAGGGUCAUUGGUAACUGGAAAACUUGAGUGCAGAAGAGGAAAGUGGAAUUCCAUGUGUAGCGGUGAAAUGCGCAGAGAUAUGGAGGAACACCAGUGGCGAAGGCGACUUUCUGGUCUGUAACUGACGCUGAUGUGCGAAAGCGUGGGGAUCAAACAGGAUUAGAUACCCUGGUAGUCCACGCCGUAAACGAUGAGUGCUAAGUGUUAGGGGGUUUCCGCCCCUUAGUGCUGCAGCUAACGCAUUAAGCACUCCGCCUGGGGAGUACGACCGCAAGGUGAAACUCAAAGGAAUUGACGGC
RNAcentral lists this ribosomal RNA (836 nucleotides) under uncultured bacterium. RNAcentral's name for it is "bacterial SSU rRNA". It matches the Rfam family "Bacterial small subunit ribosomal RNA", at positions 95 to 917 of the family's 1533-position model. The record is from RNAcentral.